UACGUAGGGGGUAAGCGUUAUCCGGAUUUACUGGGUGUAAAGGGAGCGUAGACGGCAGAGCAAGUCUGAAGUGAAAGCCCGCGGCCCAACUGCGGGACUGCUUUGGAAACUGCCCGGCUAGAGUGCUGGAGAGGUAAGCGGAAUUCCUAGUGUAGCGGUGAAAUGCGUAGAUAUUAGGAGGAACACCAGUGGCGAAGGCGGCUUACUGGACAGUAACUGACGUUGAGGCUCGAAAGCGUGGGGAGCAAACAGG
Molecule: ribosomal RNA, 253 nt
Filed under: uncultured bacterium
Lineage: Bacteria
Description: partial 16S ribosomal RNA
Rfam family: Bacterial small subunit ribosomal RNA
Source: RNAcentral